Long non-coding RNA from Sebastes umbrosus (honeycomb rockfish), 184 nucleotides. RefSeq lists it as uncharacterized. Lineage: Eukaryota; Metazoa; Chordata; Actinopteri; Perciformes; Sebastidae. The record is from RefSeq and is a predicted model, not a curated record. The transcript has 3 exons.
UUUCUGGGUUGCUGGAUAAUAAAUGUAAUCAAUAAUUCCUGCCAAUGAUCCUGAUAUAUUUGACUUCAGGACGUCUCUGACUACAGACAUGCUGAAAAUCAAACAUUUUUACUUGGUUCAUUUAAAGAUUUUACAAAGUCAAAGUCCUUAGAAGUGUCUGAUUCAUCUUUUUGUCAACAAAAAG